RNAcentral lists this unclassified non-coding RNA (737 nucleotides) under Hevea brasiliensis (rubber tree). The record is from RNAcentral. Lineage: Eukaryota; Viridiplantae; Streptophyta; Magnoliopsida; Malpighiales; Euphorbiaceae.
AUGUCCUCAUGCCUCAAAGCUAUGAUCAUUGAGUUUUUCAUUCUCUCUUUGCCUUCAAACUGAAUUUGGUAUAGAAGGUAUCAAUAUAUAGAUAUUAAAGCUGAAGCGUGCACAUAAAUUUACAAAUGAAUGUCACCUGUUUAAGUAAUUAACUUAAAAAUAUACGAUUUGUCAGUCAAUUGUCAUUAUCUUCUAUUGAUUUAUAUAACUUAAUCUCUAGCUUUUGAUUUAUAUAACUCAAUCUCUAAUUUUUGGAUUGAGUUAGGUCCGGUCCAUUUUCUCAAUAUAUAUUAAAAAUUACCCUAGUUGAGUGCUUCAUGUACAAACUUUAAGUUUCAGAUAUUUAUGUCUGGGCAAAGGGGUGUGUUGCUUUUGCAGAAGUACCAUCAAUGGAAAUAGAGGCUACGAGCAGAUGGAGAUGAACUUGAGCAUCUUCUAGGAGCAAGAGAAGUGUUGUCUUUCAAGAACGCACUCAAUCCAUUGUUUCUUCAUUCCUUCUAUACAAAAGAAACGAGAUUCUCAAACUAUUUCGUCAAACAAAUUUUGCUUGAAUUAAAUUAUUGAGAUUUUUUUUCUUUUCACAUUCAAUUGUAUAUCCUGACAGAUAGUAAGCAAUGCAUCAUGAAAAGCAAGGAAUAUGAUUCUUGCUAAAGUCUUACUGAUCACACAAUCUCCAGAAGAAUUUCUCCAUAUAUACAACGAGGGCAUUCAUCUCCAAUCCAUGUUAUCAAAAGAUC